CGUCACUUCCGGCGGAAAAGGACGCGGGAGUUUUGAUUGGAAACUUGAUUCGUCGCCGGGUCCCAGCGGUCGGCACCGCGGAGCGUCGCCCGGACGAGUCUCGGUCGUGUGCCUCAGUCCUCCACUUGUGGGCCACUUGGAACACCGUGACUUCUCCAUAGCUCCAGUCUCCAGCCUCCCAGCUGGCUCUUACUUCGUGUUACUUUCCAAUCCAGUCUCCACAUUGCCAGGCUAUCUGGUAAGUCGCAGAUCUGGCCAGAGCACUCCCGGUUUAAAAUCUUUACUUGCCUCCUAUUUGCCCUCAAGGCCAUAGUGAGGACACAUGAAUAGAGGAAGAAAGUUUCUUCUGGCCUCAGUUCUUGCUCUCCAGAAUUCCAAUUUUAUAUAUCCUUCAUGUCAGAAGUGCUUCUCUCGGAUAAUCCUGGUCUCCAAAAGGUCUCGUUGUCCAAAAUGUGGCUUUACUGGCAAAGCUGAAAAUGUCAGUUACAGAUACAAACUUUCCUUAAAAAUUGCAGACUCAAACAACUUGUUUGUCAUUACUGUAUUUGGAAGCUGCUUAGAUGCAUUUUUUGGUCUUACAGCCAAUGGUUUGCACAGGUACAUUCAAGAUCCUAAUGAGAUUUCAGAAACACUGGACCAUGAUGCAAUUCAUAAUCUGUUAACUAAAGCAGUUGAAAUUCGCUUUGUUGGACAAAGUUUUAUUUUUGGAGUGACGAAUUUUGGAAACCAACACGGACAAGGUUCAGAUUCCAAUAACUCCUUAAAGCAAUGCUCUGACCGCAAGAGAGAAGUUAAAGCAUUAGUAGCAUGCCAGAUUGUUCUACCAGACCCGGGUGUUGCAGGCUUGACUGUCAUUGACUACUUCCAUCAGCUUUUGCAACUCUCUGAUUCCAGGAAACUUGAUGGCAGCUCCCAGGCAUCAAAUAGCCACUUACUUGCUUUAGAACAGACAAAUAGUGAUCUCAGCAGCAUAUGUGGCCCUGAAAUUUUCAAGUCCCAUGGAAGAGAUAAUUUUUCAAGAUUCUGGCAGGCAUCACUUGAACUCACUUCCACUCUUUCACACCUAACAAAUGAUUUUUCAGCUUUAGAACAAAGCAAGGCCAUUGAUACUCUUCACCAGAACAGAAAGCACAUCUCUUUUGCAGAGGCCACUGGUUCUAAUAGGUGUCAUGAUGCCUUUCAGGGUUCUUGGAGCCUUAUUUCAUACAUGGAUAAAAAGAGCACAGCACAGAAGUUGAGUGAAGAAGUUGGCUUACAAGCUUAUCAGCCCAGUGCAGUCACUAGCAGUCAUGAAAUCAGAGUUACUGACUCUGAUUUUUCCCCUUUGAAAAUGCAAGAGCCCCUGGAGUCAAGUAAUAAAAAAUCCUUCCAUAGUGCUGUGGAAAUUAAUAAGUAUUCCCCACAUGAGCUAACAUAUCACCAGUAUCAUGAUUUAGAUAAGCCCUUUAGCCUUCAGAAGAGAUCUACAUGUUGUCCACCUUCAUCACUCAGACUUGAAGAGAUAGUUAGUGGUUCCCAGGACUGUGACCCUGAGAUUUGGGAUGAUCUGCCAUUCUCUGAAAGCCUGAAUGAGUUUCUGGCAUUUGUCAAAAGUGAAAUUGCUAUAACCCAGAGAGAUGCCAGUAGUAGAAAAUGUCAUCUAGAUAAUGACAUCGAUAGAUUACAUGCAGACCACAGCAAGUUAUCUGUGACUUCCCAGAGAACUACUGGAGACUUACAUACACCACCUAUAGCUUUAAGAUUAUCUCAAGCAACAAUCAAAGCAAGCUAUAGCAAAGUCCUUUCCAACUGUGAAGAAAAUCCAAGUCCUACUGUUCAGAAGGAGUCACAGUCAAAUGACACAGCGGAGGCUGUUUCUAUAAGUAGUAAUGGAAGUGAUAUUUCCGAAUAUUUGCCACCAAAUGCUUAUCUGUCAGCUCUGUUUCCAUCUUCAAAAGGUUCAGGAACAAUAGGUACUCUUAAAUCUACCAGAAUUCCAUCACAUAAAGCUGAAACUAUACUUAGGCACAGUACCUCAGAGAGUGACCAUUCUUGUCUCAAUAGCAAAUAUUUCAAAAGAUGUGGAGUAAAAUCACUUUCAGAAAUGAGUGAAAAGUUGGUAACUUUGUGUUCAAGGAGAUAUAAUAAUGUUUCUGACCUUUGCAAUUUAGAAAAUAAACAACAUUGUAGGUGGCCAAAGAACCAAGGUGACAGUUUUACAAUCUGCAGAAAACUUACAUAUCCUUUAGAAACUCUUUGCAGUAGUCCAAAUAGAAGUACAAAUACACUGAAAGAAAUGCCUUGUGGAGGUAUCAAUAACUCAACACAGAACUAUUCUGAUCAUGAAGGUAGCUAUGAUGCUUCUGCCGAUCUCUUUGAUGAUAGUGCUAAAGAAAUGGACAUUACGACAGAAAUUGCCAAAAAGUCACAGAACAUUUUGCUACAGUGGGGAAAAUCUUUGGCAGAAAGUCAUCGUACAGAAUCAAAUUUCUCACUGAGAUCACUUCCUAAGAAUUCCAACCAGUCUUCACAGAAGUUGUCUUCACAAAGCAUAUCUGCCUCUGCGUGCCCAAGAAUCUGCUCUUCUCCACCUCGUUUUCAGUCAGAUUCAGAAUAUGAUUUUGGAGAUAGCCAAGACUUUGUUCCAUGUUCACAGUCAACUCCAGUUGCAGGAUUCCACCAAACAAGAAUUCAUGAGAUGAAAGGAACUUUGAAAAACUUACUUGCCUUUUAUACGGAUCUUGAUGCUAGCUAUAAAAAAAGGCAGAUUUCCUCUGAAAAUGAUGCUCAGCAAGCCACCCCAAGCUGUCCAAACAACGUAAAGACACCCAGCCAGAAAUUCAGAAGCCCUGUUAAAUCUGGUAUUAUACAACCAGAGGUUUUCAACAAUAGUCUUAUUGCUGAGUGUUCUGAAAGUGAUAAUGAAUGGAUCCCUCCUACCACAAAAAAAGUAUUUCCUUCAGAAAUUCUUGGAUUCCAAGUGAUGGGUCUAAGGAAAUGCUCUGCUGCCUGUGAUUCUCCUGAUGAAGAAGAGUUACCAAGAAAGAAACUGAAAUGCGUCAAACGAAUAAUGAAUUCAGGUUGGCUUUCCAAAGACUCAGGUUUGGGAGUUGGAUCUUGUUCAGAAGUCCAGUGUUGCUUUCCAUUUUCAGAAAAUUGGCCACCUUCCAUGCCUGAGACAAAAAGCAGUUGGUCUCCUGAAUUAUUUUCAUAAAAAGUCACCUGAACCCAACUGCUAAGCUUGUAAAGCUCAGAAAAUGCCUGCUAUGUAUUAGGGCCAACUACCAUGCUGAGUUUGUGAUACAAAGCUACGAGAUCAGUAGUCUCAUGGAGAUUCAAUUAACCCAGCAACAUCUAUGGGCUGAGGAUAAGAAAGGCCAAGUUCUGGCCAGAGAGCUAUAAAUAGAAGUGUUGCAUGGAACUUCCAAGAAGUCUCUAUGGAUUGAAGAGAUCAAGCCCUUCUACCUUCCUUCCCAUUCCUGGGAGAGCGACAUGAUGGGUAGGGCUAUAGCACCCAUCUUAAACAACACGUUCAUCUUGAAAUUAGAGGCAAGAGUUGAGAGAUACCCCACUGACAACACAAUGAGAGCACAGUAUUAGUCCCGGGCUGCCAACCUCUAGAUUUCUUUCACAUGAGAAAAAGAAACCCUGUCUUGUUUUUUCUUUUUUUUUUUUUUUCAAUUAUAUAUAGCCAAGUAAUCCUAACCAAUAUACCACAUGUAUCAGUAUUCCAUCUACAUUUUGCCUUUCACAAUUUUCCAAAGCUACCCAAUUCUCUUCUCCAUGACCUGUGAAUUAGUAAAAAUGCUAUCUGUAGCUCUAGGUUGUUAGCAUUAACUCAUUUUGUGAAAGCCCCAAAUGGAGAGAGCUAAUAUUUGUAUGCCUCCUCUGUGUUAUGUACUCCUAUAUAUUAUCUCACAUUCUCCCUGUCUCACUCCUACACCUAGGUGCCCAGAGACCCUGCAUUCCCUCCUGCUCAUUUAUAUGAAGUGUCUUUGAAUAACUCAAAGUCAAUUCUUCCCCUUGUGUACUCAGCGACACCAAUCCAGAUUCUGUCUUCCUCUCCUGUGUCAAGUCACUCACUCUAUCAAAUAAAUAAAAUCUUUUUAAAAAAUAAAAACAUUUGGCCUCGUUCUUUGACACCCCUUAUCAGCAAAAACUGCCUAAAAGUUUAUCCCAUAGUCCUUUUCCUCUCUUCUGUUUCUCCUGAACUCAUUCAGUGAUUCUUUCAGCAGCAUUUGACACAGUUGAUCACAUCUCCUUGGAAUAUUUUCUUCACUAGGCUUUCAGAACACUGCUCUUCAUUUUCCUAUUUUACUGGUCAUACGUUCAGUCUCCUUUUUAUUGUUUUUUAAGAUUUUUUAUUUAUUUAUUCAUGAGAGACACAGAGAGAGGCAGAGACACAGGCAGAGGGAGAAGCAGGCUCCAUGCAGGGAAACCAAUGUGGGACUCCACCCUGGGUCCCCAGGAUCACGCCGUGGGCUGAAGGUGGCGCUAAACUGCUGAGCCACCAAGGCUGCCCCAUUCAGUCUCCUUUGCUGGUUCUUUUCCUGUCGCUAACUAAAUGUUGGAGUGCCCCAGGGUCCAUUCCUCAGAACUCUCCAUUUAUACUAACUUCUUUAAUGAUGUCAAUCUAAGACUUUCCAUACUUAUUGACUCCUAAAUUUCUAUUUCCAGCCUGAUCUCUCCCCAGAUCUCAAGCACAUAUAUACAGCUACCAACUCAGUAUCUCUUAUUUGGAUAUCUAAUAGACAUUCCAAACUCAACACAUCCUAAACCAAAUUCCUGGUUCACCAUACCCACUCAAAUUCCUCCUUUUGCAGUGUUUCUCAUGUGAGCAAAUGUCAAUGAAACAUUACUAGUUGCUUAAGCCAAAAACUUUACAGUCAUGCUUGAUUCUUAUUUUUUCACACUUAAAACCAUGAGCAAGGGGAUCCCUGGGUAGCUCAGAGGUUUAGCAACUGCCUUUGGCCCAAGGCAUGAUCCUGGAGUCCCAGGAUUGAG
Molecule: RNA transcript, 4983 nt
Organism: Canis lupus familiaris (dog)
Lineage: Eukaryota; Metazoa; Chordata; Mammalia; Carnivora; Canidae
Gene: DDIAS
Gene name: DNA damage induced apoptosis suppressor
Exons: 8
Source: RefSeq, a predicted model, not a curated record